This is a long non-coding RNA of Colossoma macropomum (tambaqui), 3892 nucleotides long. RefSeq lists it as uncharacterized. The record is from RefSeq and is a predicted model, not a curated record. Lineage: Eukaryota; Metazoa; Chordata; Actinopteri; Characiformes; Serrasalmidae. The transcript is spliced from 3 exons.
UCUUUUCUGUGCCUUAUUUGGCUGUUUAUUUGAAGAAAAUGAGUUUUAAGCUCAACAUGUUCCAAAUAAAUCUAAAUCUAGUAGAAGGGUGAUGGAUGGAAUCUAUAGCCAAAUAAGGCGGUUUUGCAGCAGUAGCCAAUUGAGUUUAUUGUAUCUACAGAAUAUGAAAAUCUUUGGAAAGCUCAAAUGAUCUGCGUGAGUGGUAAAGACCUAGAUUUCCUGGAACGUGCAUGACAAAGGAAAACAGCAGGUUUUCGCUGAAGUCUGUUCUAGGUGGUGAUGGGGUCAAAAUGGACCUUUCAGGGAAACCCUGCUGCAUGGCAUACUUUUUGAACUUCUCAAUCAGCUCGGGUCUCAACGUCUGGGUACGACCUAGAAGGAGAUCAAAGGCGUUACAUUGUCAGAAAAAAGGUCAAAGUUUUUCUGAGGCUGGAUGUCUCCAAAGGUGUCUCUCAGGAGCACGGCCAAAACGAUGGUCACAAGGAUGAACUUCAUGGUCAAAGGAGAACAGUGGAACAGAGCCAGGAAAACAGAGCAGGUCAAGCAGCACUGAGCACCAAGGGCUUUUGUAAGAUGGUGCCAGCCUGCACAGCUCCACCCCAACUAACCCAGCCAAUCAGAGACACGUACAGGCAUCUAACAAAGUUACUUUUCAUGGAAAGGUAAAGCUACAUGGAAAAAGAAAUAACCAGUCAAAGCACACACUCAGCAUGUUUCACAUGCGGAACAUAUUUAACAGCAGACAGCCCUGCUUUUUCCACUACCUGUACGUUUGCUCUGGUCAGGUACCACUGUUUACUACUCAUAUUUGACAUUUUAGACACAACCUUCACCUGGAGGAUAAGUUUAGGUUCUUCUUUGCAUGUGUCGUCCUACACAGAGGUGGAAAAGCACUCUGUACAAAAUGAUAAACAACAUACAAAAUGAUUUUAACUUUAAAAAGGUCACCUAGUUAGUUUAUAAUUUUUAAUUCAUUUAACUUCUACACUCUCAGAAAAACGGGAUGAAACUGUCACUGGGGUGGUUCCCUCAAGGGUACAUGUCAGCACCUUAAUCCACUGAAAUUAUAUUGUCUAAUCAGUAUUGACUCCACACCCCGUCUCGUCUCCAGGCUUUUUAUUUUAUUGUUCUGUUUUACAACAUUCGAUUAAGAAAAGGUACAAAUACAUACUUUUCACCUAGAAAAACUAAUUUAAGGUUUACAACUGGACCUUAAAACCACUGUUGUACCCUUGAGGGAACAUUGUUUGUACCAAUGAAAAUGUACCUGCACAGAAUCUUUAUUCCUAACGGUUUAAAAUUAAGUUUACAAAGCACACCUAUUUGUUUUUUAAGUUUUUUUGUUAAACUACAUCAGAGUUCAGACAAUGAGAUGAUUCUGGUUGCUCCAAAAAUGCAAUGCAAGAGGCUACUCUAACUUGGUUGCUAAUGUUAGCAUAUGUGUUUAGCGAUUCUCCAACCAAUUAGUAAUCUGUAGCAUUUUUAUGCACCUUUUGGUAUCGGCUCAGCUCGCUUGGAAUCUUGACAGAUAUGGUACCAAAAAACUAUUGGGAACUAGGUACCAGGAACUUCUCUGUGAUGGAAAACCAAAAAAAGGUGAGUAGAGUUGAGUUGAAUCGAGCCGGUAUCAAGCAGUGGAGAAACGCCUUUGAAGAACAGUUAGAUCCCAUUGUUUUGAAUGUGUCCCAAAGUCUAAAAAUCAGUGCAGAUCAUUAAGAAUUAUCCCUACCAAAACACAUUUUCUGCAAUUAAGUAAACUUUUCUGUGUCUUUAUAAAAGACAUGAUGAUUUUAUGUGUGUACAACUGCUCAAAGCACUGUUUGCUAGUCUUGUACUGGCUGGCAUUUUGGAGUUUUUGAGCUCAAAAUAAAAUAGUUGCUACUGAAAUUGUUGCUAAAAUUGUUGCUACCGAAACAGGAACUACUGAGUUUCGGUAGUGUUAUGAUCUAUGUAUUAGUGAUCAAACUGAAUGGCCUUCAGCUCUGGAACAAGGAUAAGAAAAAAAAAAAUCUCUACAAUAAUGCUAAUUUCUACUAGUGGAAUACUGUUAGCGCUAAGCUAAGCUAAGCUAAGAGCUGUUCACAUUAAUAUUUUGUGGUUGUUCUAGAUUAAACAUAAAUGUUUAAAGCUUGCAAAAUAUAUUUUGUUUUAUCUGAUGCUUCUAACAGACAUCUAAACAUAUCUUACCACUUCUAUUCACUGUUUUCUAUUUAACAACAGACUGAAACCUGGUUAACCUACUGCUAAUAUUCAGUCAGUGACGUAUCCUUAACUUUCAGAAGGCCUAGAGGAACAUUUUUCCUCACAAAAUGGGUCCCACCGAAAUCAGAACAUGAUUAGUUGAUUCCACUUUCUAAUUAUGCUGGGGUUAAUUUGACUCCUUAAUCCCUCACUUCAGCUCUCAGUUCAGUUCAGUCCUAACCGAGAGGAGAGCUAGCAUGGCUGUGUCUACACAAACAGAUUGUCCUGACUGGAGAAUCUUCAAGAAUUUAAGUUUCAAGAAUUUAACCCUUUUGUUUAUAGGCAAGUUAAAAAAUCAAAUAAGCGUAUUAAUACAACAUCUGCAGAGUUUAAAUACACAAGUAAUGACUAUAUUAAAUAAAAAUUAAUGAAAAAUUGCAGAUAUGUAUUUAUUAAAGAAAUCAUUACUCCUUUUCUGAAGGCCUAGAGGGCCUUCUGAGGUUUCUCCUCUGGUUUUAAUUAAAUCAAUACAAUGCACUUUUAAGGUCUAAAUAAAACUGUAACUGUGUAAAAGUACAAUUGUUCAAUUUCAAUAGUACUUGAGCAAAAAUACAAACCUUCCAAAAGCAUUUUCCACCCCUGGUCCUCUUCAAGUCUUCAUAGAAGUAAUGAAUUUUCAUGUUGUUAAACAGCUGGCAAUAAAAAUAUCCACCAUACUCAACAGUUUCUUUAUUUUUUAUUAAUAUUGAUUUUCAGAUGCCAUGUUUUGUUUUUCUUCUUCAGAGCAUGAUUUACAGCUAAGUCUUUGAGACAAGAGGACUUCAGUGCGACACUGCACACCUCACACACCUCCCCCUACACACACACACACACACACACACACACACACACACACACUGCACUAUUCACUAACCGAGCCACCGGCCUAACACGCUUUUCCCUUUUCUGAUCUACAACUGCAAGAUGUUUUUCCUGAGUACCAAACAGAAAACAAGAAACAUCAAAAAAGGUGCAUUUAUGACCAGCAGACUGAUUAGAGUGACAAGAUCAACGUUCAAUUUUCAGAACAAAAACAAAAUGAACAUUCCUGCUUCCUAGGCAGCCAUUUUAGUAGUUAUUUUUAGUCAUCUGCAACAUGCAGAAGGUUCCUGGUGGUCUGAGGGCUUAGCACCACACAUGUGGCUAUAAUGUAGAGUCCAUUAGUCAGUGUUUGAAGUAAACCGUUUUUUUGUGAUAAAAAAGGGCAAGUAUACUGCAAAGCUGAAUUCAUUGGUGAAUAAGCAAAUGUAUUUAGUUUAAAACAGUCUUAAACGGAACCAAAAGUCAUUUCAAAAGUGAUCAUCUUCACAAACUGCUAGACAAAAGUGGGCUUGCUAACCCACAAAUGCAGCUUCUGCAGGCUAAUCCCUCCUUGGUCCUUUGCAGCUUAGCAAAUAAAGCUAACAUUAAAAAGACAGUGUCUUCUCACAGCAAGACGUAAAAGUCAAGAUAUCAAAACACAAUUAAAAUAUAAAUUUAUGAUAACAAAAGAAAAGACAUUGGUACAUCAGCAAGAGCUUAGAGUGAAGCAGCCAUUCUGAGCUGUCAGUGUUUAUGGAAUGGAGCAAUACAAGAUUUUGGUCAAAAGAGUGGUAACCGCACCCCCUGCAGGAUGAGAGCUGGAACUGCAUCCUGUUUUUCCUCAGCCCACAUCUGCUUUACAGAAUUAAAA